This 727-nucleotide long non-coding RNA is filed under the name Salmo salar (Atlantic salmon). RNAcentral's name for it is "lncRNA (ENSSSAG00000116507.1)". Lineage: Eukaryota; Metazoa; Chordata; Actinopteri; Salmoniformes; Salmonidae. The record is from RNAcentral.
CCUGUCUGUCUCUCCCAUUAUGGAAGCUAACCCUUGACCCACACAUCUCUAGUUGGACCACACUGAGACAGCAGGGCAAAUACUCUCCAACCUCUGUAUGUAUAUGUAAGCAUGUGUACAUGUUUUUUAAAGGAGUUGGAUGUUUGGUCAAUAAAGUAAUAUUAUUCUACUACUGCAGGUCCCUGCCCGCACAGCCCAAGUCAUAGUAAAAUGAAGAAUCCCUCCCCUGGUUCGUUCAUCUGUCGUUGGUUAGUUCCCUCCUGUCUACAGUGUGUGAUGCACAAUCAAGAGCAUCCUGUCGGGCUGUAUCACCGCCUGGUACGGCAACUGCUCCACUCACAACCACAAGGCUCUCCAGAGGGUAGUGAGGUCUGCACAACGCAUCACCGGGGGCAAACUACCUGCCUUCCAAGACACCUACACCACCCAAUGUCACAGGAAGGCCAAAAAGAGCAUCAAGGACAACAACUACCCGAGCCACUGCCUGUUCACCCCGCUAUCAUCCAGAAGGCGAGGUCAGUAGUGGUGCAUCAACGCUGGGACCGAGAGACUGAAAACCAGCUUCUAUCUCAAGGCCAUCAGAUUGUUAAACAGCCAUCACUAACAUUGAGUGGCUGCUGCCAACAUAUGGACUCAAAUCUCUAGCCACUUUAAUCAUUAAAAAUUGGAUGUAAUAAAUGUAUCACUAGUCACUUUAAACAAUGCCACUAUAAUGUUUAUAUACCCU